This is a non-coding RNA of Triticum urartu, 1939 nucleotides long. NCBI's taxonomy places the organism in Eukaryota, Viridiplantae, Streptophyta, Magnoliopsida, Poales, Poaceae. The record is from RefSeq and is a predicted model, not a curated record.
AACGCUUUACCACGCUACCAACCUAGUUUAACCAUAACAAGUUACAAGCACCUUUUUACUAAUUUAUUUUGGAGCUAAGUGCAAAUCUUUUAUUUGCCCCUGGACCGAUUUAUUUUCUCGUUUUGACUAAGGGAACCAAGUUCAAUCUACUGGACAUGGUUGGCCACGCCAAAGAGCGCCUCUUGCGCCAGUGCACGUGGUGAUCACGCUUGCGUCAUGGCUGAGUGCGUGCUCUGGCUUGUUCUGGCCACUGUUCUCGUCUCCUCCCUCCUCGUAUCGACCUCCAUUUGUGUCCUGGAGCUCGCCCGUGCUCGAUUGCAUCACCCUGCAUCGGUGCCUUGUCGUGGUUAGCCAUAAAUGAGCCGCUAGCUCCAUGCCCGUGUGAUGCCCAGCCACUGACCUCCAUUAGAGCACCGCUCAAGCUCGCUAACGUGCUCUAGAGCCCUCCCCUCGACUAUAUAAGUGUGCCCCGAGCCCUGCCACAGCUCAUUCACUCCUCACUUGCCUCCCCAGCCCACCGGAGUCCUCGGCCCUCUCUUCUUUUCGCCGGAGUUCGCCAUGACCGCCUUGGUUCCUCCUCGGUUCCGGUGAACCUAGCCCCUCCCCUCUCCUCCAGAGCUGUCCACCGCGUUCCCCUCAUCCCCGAAGUUCGCCCCACCACCUCGCCCUUCUCCGGAGUCCACUCUGGCCGCGUGCCCCGCAAGUCAGGCCGUCGCGCCUGCCUCUCUGCAUCACUCCACCUCGAGCUAUCCCGAGCUCCUCCUCCCUGUACGACCCCACCACCGUCCUCCCCGUGCUCCGCUAAGUCGCCCCAUCCCAUCAUCCCUCGCCAGAGUGCCCUGCGUCACCGGAGAGCAUCACCACCGCCGCCUCUCUGUCCGCCUCGGGCGCCGCCCCUCCCCUCCUCCCCGCGCCUCUCCGGCGUCCGGUUCCAAUCUGAACGGGUGCGGAGCGCCAUCCUGAAGCUUCCGGUGCCCUCGCCUUGGCCUGGAGUGGCCGGAGUCGGCGGGGCCAGCGCCGGCAGCGCCCCUGUCCUCCUCCUCUGCUUCCUGUCGUGGCCAGGCACGGGAGGAAGAAGAAAACAGGGGGAGGAGAGAGAAGGAUAAGGUGGGCCCCGCAUGUCAUCCUCUGCUCAUUGACCCCGCCACUGCCACGUCACGAACCCAUUGGUGAUAAAAUCUUCACAGAUUGGUCCUUGAUCUUCAACUCCUCACAACUCCGCAACCGUAACUACGAUUGAGCCCCCUCCAAGAGAAAACCGUCGGACGUUUUGUUCCGCGUCUUCACCGCACUUCUUCCUGGAGUCUCCGUCACCCUAGGCAAGCCACAAUACCCACUUGCAUGAUAGUCAUGUAGUAGCCAUGGUUUUCAACUUGAAUAUUUAUUAAAUGUUUGCUUGUUUAAAAUAUGGUUAUAGUUGUUUCAGCAAUGCUUGUGGAUGAAUGCUUACUUUCUUACUAUGUUGUUAUGCACCUGGUUGGCAUGCCCUGCUAGUUGUUAGUAUUCCUUUCGUAUGCUUAUGCUUGCUAGUAGUACAUAUUGAUGUUGGUAAUGGUCUUCUGUGCAUGACUGCCGUCUGUCUCGAGUACAGUUGUUAUGCAUGUUCCAUUGCAUCCAGUGGGUUAAAUGCUUGCAUGAUGGCAUUGUUGAUAUGUUCUUGCAUGACGUUUAUUGUUGAUUCUAGUGGUCAUGUUAUGCUAUGAGUAGUGUUGUACUGGUAAAAUUCAUGCUCUUCAUUAUGCCAUGCUCAGUUGGAGAUGAUUCAUUGUUGAUAUAGUGGAUAGGUAUGUUGCACCCGUGCUUAUGUUAAUCUCAUGCUUAUGCAUUGUAAUUGCAUCAUGUAUUUUAUCAUGGCUCAGCAUAUUUGCAUUCAAGUUUAACCGGAUUAAAUUAAACUUGAACAACUGUUGGCUGAGUCAUGGUGCCACCAUAUCGAACU